AAAUUGAUUAAUUGACAGUAGCAGUAAUAUUAUCGUUUUUUUUUCAGAAAGCCAUGGACUUAUGUGUUAUAAAUGUGAAAAUGAACGAAACAACUUUCUGUGUGUAGGAGAAUAUAAUCUGAAGCAAUGUGAUUCAGGAUUCGAUACUUGUCAGACGACGGUGUCAUACUCAGAGGUAAGCGAACAGCUUUCAAUAAUUAAAACCUGUACGAAAAAUUCCUCGUGUCACCUGCAAAUAAAAGAACAUUCGGAAUCUGACCCAUGUGAUCAAACAGGAAGUAGCUGGAUAUGCACCACCUGUUGUAAUGAGGACGCAUGUAAUUUAAACAAUGCACCUAGUAAAGCCUCGUUUUCAUCCGUUCUGUCAUAUAUGAAUAUAUUUUUGUAUUUAUACAUUAAAUGUAUUGUAUAAAAUCUA
Molecule: long non-coding RNA, 418 nt
Organism: Mytilus californianus (California mussel)
Lineage: Eukaryota; Metazoa; Mollusca; Bivalvia; Mytilida; Mytilidae
Exons: 2
Source: RefSeq, a predicted model, not a curated record